Molecule: ribosomal RNA, 305 nt
Filed under: uncultured bacterium
Lineage: Bacteria
Description: bacterial SSU rRNA
Rfam family: Bacterial small subunit ribosomal RNA
Source: RNAcentral
GCCUACGGGGGGCAGCAGUGGGGGAUAUUGCACAAUGGGGAAACCCUGAUGCAGCGACGCCGCGUGUGGGAAGACGGUCCUCUGGAUUGUAAACCACUGUCCCCAGGGACGAAGAUGACGGUACCUGGGGAGGAAGCUCCGGCUAACUACGUGCCAGCAGCCGCGGUAAUACGUAGGGAGCGAGCGUUGUCCGGAAUUACUGGGUGUAAAGGGAGCGUAGGCGGGAGAGCAAGUCGACUGUGAAAUCUAUGGGCUUAACCCAUAGCUGCGAUCGAAACUGUUCAUCUUGAGGGAAGUAGAGGCAG